AGCGGAGUACUAUCUGAAUUCUGAAGAAGAAACAUUUGAUCAGAUACAGCUGGCCUACAAAUACUUGGCCAAAACGUAAACGUAAAAGUUAAAAACCCAAAAAAGAUUAAAAAGGAAAAUUGGCCUACCUCAUUGCAAUCUGCAAUAGUUAUUUUUUUGUCGUCCAUUUUACUUCCAUGAAGAUGAAGGAAAAAAAAUAAAACAGAAAAUCUUUCCUCCUCUUUUGCAGUCCACGUGUAUGGCAAGAAAAGUUCGAUAACUCCCAAUUUCAAUUCCCAAAAUAAAACCCUAGCGUAGCGUCCCACCCAGUAACAUCCCCACAGCUGAGCAAGACAAAAGCUACUAGUGCCUGAGCCUUUUUGUCUGCACCCAAAGAGAACGCAAAAAAAAUGGCUUCCUCCGCAGCUAUCACCCUCCUGCCCAAAUCCCUGCGACCCAGAACCACCUUCAACACAGCCAUCGCCACCCGUUUCUUCUCCACCGGGAGCUCAGACUCCCCGCCCAAACAAAAACCAACACAGAGGUUGGUUCCCCACCCGUUUCAAACAGGAGGGCCUCUGAUGCCUGUAAUGCAUAGCCCAGUGAAGGGCGGUUGUCUGUUGAGGGUAAACAUGCCGGGUGUUGGCCAAGAUGGUCUGAAGGUCCAUCUUGAGAACAAUACUGUAUUCUUUGAGGGUAAAGGAGAAGCGGAACACGAAUCUGAAGAAGGGAGGGGUUAUAAGGGCAGUUUCGAGGUGAUUGGCAUGAAUAUCAAGGUUGCAAAAAUUGAGCCGGAGAUGAGAGAUGGGAUUUUAAGGGCUUUUAUCAGGGUCAAUAAAAUUGAUGACAAAGCUCUUAUGGCGUCCGAUUGCAGUGCAUCCUUUUGAAAAAUCGACCAUUGUCUAGCUUUCUAGUCUUUUUUGUUUUAGGUCCAGGGUGGGCCUGUUUUAGCUUUCUAGCUAAAAUUUUGUGGUGAGGUAUUGUGGUGGGUUCUUUAUGCUCUAUGAUUUUAUGGAUAAAAUGAUGUUUGUAUUAGUGAUCUUUAAUCCAGAGUGUAGCGGAUGGAUUUCUUUCCUUUUCUUUUCUAAAUUUUGCAUAAUACUCAUUGACAAACGAAUCAAAUCUUAAUGCUGAAAUUAGUGGGAAAACUGUGCAUUUGAUUGAUUGUGAUUUGGUCAAUUUCUGUCAGCCUUAUGCU
This 1177-nucleotide long non-coding RNA is filed under the name Coffea arabica (coffee). RNAcentral's name for it is "long non-coding RNA (CARA_LNC005781)". Lineage: Eukaryota; Viridiplantae; Streptophyta; Magnoliopsida; Gentianales; Rubiaceae. The record is from RNAcentral.